RNAcentral lists this ribosomal RNA (253 nucleotides) under uncultured bacterium. RNAcentral describes it as "partial 16S ribosomal RNA". It matches the Rfam family "Bacterial small subunit ribosomal RNA", at positions 524 to 776 of the family's 1533-position model. The record is from RNAcentral.
UACGUAGGGGGCAAGCGUUAUCCGGAUUUACUGGGUGUAAAGGGAGCGUAGACGGCAGUGCAAGUCUGGAGUGAAAGGCGGGGGCUCAACCCCCGGACUGCUCUGGAAACUGUACGGCUGGAGUGCAGGAGAGGUAAGUGGAAUUCCUAGUGUAGCGGUGAAAUGCGUAGAUAUUAGGAGGAACACUAGUGGCGAAGGCGGCUUACUGGACUGUAACUGACGUUGAGGCUCGAAAGCGUGGGGAGCAAACAGG